CUAUAAUUCAUUUUUUUACCAUUAAGUGAAACUUAACAUUGAAUCUCCUGUGAUAUUGUCUACCAUUUCUGUUUGGUCUAAUAAUUUUAAUCUCAGAUACCUACUGAACAAAACUUACAUUCAAAAACUCCCGUAAAAUUUACAUGUAUAAAUAGGUCAAAAAUGGUUACAAUGUUUUGACAAUUCACGCUGGCUAAAAAAAGUCAUAUUAGUUCUCUAUACAAACUUAUACUGAAUUUAAACAAAAAUUGUUUGUACAUUUUCUAAUUUUUCCAUUGAUUAUAGAAACAGUUGAGAUAAUCCAAAAAUGACCUCUAAGAUAUGAUUUCAAAAAAAAUGUUAUACUUUUAAAUCUGAGCAAAAUUGUCAGUAGAAAAAUUAACAGGUUAUAACAAUAAAUAAGAAGACUAAAUUUGUACAGCCUAACUAUAUGACUAUAUGAAAGAAUGUCCUAAAACGAGUCAUAAUUAAAUGGCUACAGGUUGCACUUAGUAUGCUAGUGUUGCUACUUUUAGCUGUGUAAUAUAGACUAUUUUUGGAAAAUAUAUCCAUUAUUUCAUAAGCAUGCCAUACAAUGUAUGGUAUUGCUUCACGGCAACAACUGACAAAUUGUUAUAAAAUUACCCAUCUACAUUAGAUGUUAAUAUUCUGUAAUUGAACAAAUAUAAUAUAUGGUUUUCAUUUACCAGUAGAUUUCAACAUAAUUGAAAAUAUUAAAUGAUUUACCAAUAGCUAAGUGUGUUAUGGUCCUUACAAUACAUGAUUAUAAAUUAAUCACUUGUCUAUUAUGAAUUAAACACAUGUUGACAGAUGUUUUACAUUCACAUUUAGGCAAAAUUUAUAUUUUAUUUAUGAAAC
This is a non-coding RNA of Cinara cedri, 858 nucleotides long. The record is from the annotation of a GenBank genome assembly. Lineage: Eukaryota; Metazoa; Arthropoda; Insecta; Hemiptera; Aphididae.